GGCGUAGGAAAUUUGAGAGGAGCUGUCCUUAGUACGAGAGGACCGGGAUGGACUUACCGCUGGUGUACCAGUUGUUCUGCCAAGGGCAUUGCUGGGUAGCUAUGUAGGGAAGGGAUAAACGCUGAAAGCAUCUAAGUGUGAAGCCCACCUCAAGAUGAGAUUUCCCAUUUCUUUAAGAAAGUAAGACCCCUGAGAGAUGAUCAGGUAGAUAGGUUGGAAGUGGAAGGCUAGUGAUAGUUGGAGCGGACCAAUACUAAUCGGUCGAGGACUUAACCAAA
This 278-nucleotide ribosomal RNA is filed under the name Clostridium perfringens. RNAcentral's name for it is "partial 23S ribosomal RNA". It matches the Rfam family "Bacterial large subunit ribosomal RNA", at positions 2650 to 2925 of the family's 2925-position model. The record is from RNAcentral. Lineage: Bacteria; Bacillati; Bacillota; Clostridia; Eubacteriales; Clostridiaceae.